This 1529-nucleotide long non-coding RNA is filed under the name Homo sapiens (human). Its description in RNAcentral is "long intergenic non-protein coding RNA 1515". The record is from RNAcentral. Lineage: Eukaryota; Metazoa; Chordata; Mammalia; Primates; Hominidae.
CUUCCUGUGUGGAACCUGGAAUUCAAACGGCUGGGUAGGAAGCACGCUAGCAGGGGCCUCUGGCCUUGCUGAGGGUCCCUGUUUCCCCUUUUCCUUCCUUUUCACCCAACAAAACCCUGCUUUACUCACCCUUCAAACCAUCUAUGAGCCUAAAUUGUCGUGGUCGUGGAAUGGACAAGGACCCAGUCUUUAGCUGAACUAAGGGAAAGUCCUGCUUUUUGGCGCGCAACAGGGGAGCUCAAGAAACAAGUCAAAGAAACUUUGAACUAUUUAUGGCCUUUAAUAAUUAAGUAAGGUAUACUCCUGUGAUCAAGACUUGGAGCAUAUUUGUUUCUCUCUGCCUGGUUCCUCUAGAAAUUGGAAACUAUCAGAACAGAGACCAACUCCGUUUCCCGAUCCCUUUGCAAUCUGCAUUGAACCAUGAGUCAAGUUCUUGAUAAAGGAGUGAAAAUGGAUGACAUUUAAGGCACAUCUGAAGAUGGGGAAACCACAGCACAGAAUAAGGCUGGGCCCUUGAAUCAAUAAAUGAAGGAGAACUACUCAAGAGAACAAAACCACCAGCAAUAUCCACCUGUAUUUGUCUUUUCAUAAUGUGUGACACAUGUGCUCAUGGAUUAUUGUCCGAAGCAAGACAUGUGACCAAGCCUAACAUCAACUGGGUGAAGAGCUAUAUGUUCCUUUCUCAAGAGGCACUACAAGUGACAUGCCACUGGGCAGAAGGUUGAAAAGAUGAUCCAGUGAAGAAACAAGAGAAGAUGUAGCCAGGAAAUAUCUGAAGCAAACUGGUGGAUUCUGAAUGAUUAAAAAUAAUAAUAACCAAAGAGAAAAGAAGUAGUGGAUGAGGUUGGCAGAGAUGAGGAACUGCCAUUUCUCCAAAGCUCUGAACCAAAAGCAAAGACUCAUUUGAAUGUUUUACCAAGCUUGAGUACUUUACAAAACUUGAAAGUGUGCAAGAGCAAAGAGGUAUCAUUUAGCACACUAUAAAUAGCAUCUUCUUUAAAAAUGUUGUACACAUUUCUCAUAUUUGAAAGUAAAUAACCUGAGAUUUAAAACAUCUGUCAAACAAUCUGUGAAUGUUAUGUGCCAUUUUAAUACAUUUUGACAUUAUUUCAUGUUGAAACAUACUUUCUCUGAUUGUAUUGACUGGAUUAUAUAGAACCUCUUUGACUGACUUAGUCUAUAACUUGCCCAGAUAAAAUGUACAUUGCAAGUAAAUAAAAUAUGGGUGAUAUGGGAAUGAAAUUUCAAGGCAAGUUUCGUGUAUAAUCUGUAGCUCCUCUCAAACUAUAUUACCACUCCUAAGACAUCCUUUAUCUGAUACGAAUGCCUAAUAAGGAGCAACAUUUCUUUUUAUGCUAUAAUUACAUUGUACUAAUUCUUUUUCUAAAAUGGAAAUGCAUACCAUCAAAGAAUAAAACAAAAUGUUAAGAAUUUCACACAUUUAUAUUUGAUAAAAUGACACUUUGUAUUCAAAUGACACAUUCAUUUUUUCCCUACUACUUGAAUGAAUAAAAACAUCCUUUAUUGUU